RNAcentral lists this ribosomal RNA (531 nucleotides) under uncultured Acaulosporaceae. RNAcentral describes it as "SSU rRNA". It matches the Rfam family "Eukaryotic small subunit ribosomal RNA", at positions 548 to 1081 of the family's 1831-position model. Lineage: Eukaryota; Fungi; Glomeromycota; Glomeromycetes; Diversisporales; Acaulosporaceae. The record is from RNAcentral.
UUGGAGGGCAAGUCUGGUGCCAGCAGCCGCGGUAAUUCCAGCUCCAAUAGCGUAUAUUAAAGUUGUUGCAGUUAAAAAGCUCGUAGUUGAAUUUCGGGAUUUGUCAGUUGGUCGGGCUUCACUGUCCGUAUUGACUUGAUGGAUUCUUACCUUCUGAAUAACCAGCAUGCUAUUAAGUUAGUGCGUUGGGGAAGCAGAUCUAUUACCUUGAAAAAAUUAGAGUGCUUAAAGCGAGCUAGUGCUUGAAUAGAUUAGCAUGGAAUAAUAAAAUAGGACGGCAUGGUUCUAUUUUGUUGGUUUCUAGGAUCACCGUAAUGAUUAAUAGGGAUAGUUGGGGGCAUUAGUAUUCAAUUGUCAGAGGUGAAAUUCUUGGAUUUAUUGAAGACUAACUUCUGCGAAAGCAUUUGCCAAGGAUGUUUUCAUUAAUCAAGAACGAAAGUUAGGGGAUCGAAGACGAUCAGAUACCGUCGUAGUCUUAACCAUAAACUAUGCCGACUAGGAAUCGGACGAUGUUAAUUUUUUAAUGUACUC